CCGAACCUGUGCGAUCACUUGCGCUCUCACACUGACCGACUCGCGUCUCUUAUUUUCUCUGUCGCCAUUUCUCCGUAAAUGCCCGCUGGGUCUCUCUGUCGAGGUUCUUUUUCGCUCGCCUGCUGCCUUUCCUGCUUUUCUUGCAAGAAUGACGGGCGAAUACAUGCACUCGACAAGACGACGACGUGCUCGGUGAGGAUGCGCGUUUGCCGGUCACUGCCGUGCGCGCCCCCUCCCUUCCCCGGUAUCACAGUGGUUGCCGCGCUAGGAGAAUUUCUAUAUGGAGGGAACGGUACGGGUGCGAGGCCUGAGACACGGGCAGUGCUGCUGCACUGAUGAUGAUCUGAACAAAAAAGAGAGUCCUCCUAGAAAGCAGAAGAAUGAAAAUGCAAAAAGAGAACACAGAAUGUUAACACCGCCACCAAUGUGGCUCCACCCACGUCCCGCCGUCAAGGCGAGUGCUUCAGUUGCGUGGAAUCACCACUCCCGUAACUGGAGGCAUCCGCUUCCACGCAGAGCGCACAGACGCACAGGAAAUAAAUGAGGAGGAAGUCACGAAUAAUGCAACGCAGCUCCGAGAGGGGGAGACAGAGAGACGGAAUGUAACGCGAUGGAGCGUCUAGAGGUGCAUGAGAGCUCUCUCGGCCCCCUCCCUCUUUAUCUCCUCAAGCGACUCAAUCUUUCCCAUCCGUGAAGAUGGUGAAGGCUUCUGCUGUUGUCGAGCGGCAAGUUUUGCGCCGGGGUUGACAUGCGUCUUUGCCGUCUCUCCAAAAUGCAGAAUAUCGACCUUAACCUCAAACCCCGUGUCUUGUGACAUGUCCCUCUCUUCUUCUGAGCUCUGCAG
RNAcentral lists this unclassified non-coding RNA (844 nucleotides) under Leishmania donovani. Its description in RNAcentral is "gene:unknown". Lineage: Eukaryota; Euglenozoa; Kinetoplastea; Trypanosomatida; Trypanosomatidae. The record is from RNAcentral.